GCGCGGGUGGCGAAAUUGGUAGACGCGCACGUUUGAGGGGCGUGUCCCUUCACUGGGAUGUGGGUUCAACUCCCACCCCGCGCA
Molecule: transfer RNA, 84 nt
Filed under: Candidatus Omnitrophota bacterium
Lineage: Bacteria; Pseudomonadati; Candidatus Omnitrophota
Description: Candidatus Omnitrophica bacterium (sediment metagenome) tRNA-Leu
Rfam family: tRNA
About the family: Transfer RNA (tRNA) molecules are approximately 80 nucleotides in length.
Source: RNAcentral